This 496-nucleotide ribosomal RNA is filed under the name uncultured bacterium. Its description in RNAcentral is "partial 16S ribosomal RNA". It matches the Rfam family "Bacterial small subunit ribosomal RNA", at positions 29 to 507 of the family's 1533-position model. The record is from RNAcentral.
AUGAACGCUGGCGGCGUGCCUAAUACAUGCAAGUCGAGCGAACAGACGAGGAGCUUGCUCCUCUGACGUUAGCGGCGGACGGGUGAGUAACCCGUGGAUAACCUACCUAUAAGACUGGGAUAACUUCGGGAAACCGGAGCUAAUACCGGAUAAUAUAUUGAACCGCAUGGUUCAAUAGUGAAAGACGGUUUUGCUGUCACUUAUAGAUGGAUCCGCGCCGCAUUAGCUAGUUGGUAAGGUAACGGCUUACCAAGGCAACGAUGCGUAGCCGACCUGAGAGGGUGAUCGGCCACACUGGAACUGAGACACGGUCCAGACUCCUACGGGAUGCAGCAGUAGGGAAUCUUCCGCAAUGGGCGAAAGCCUGACGGAGCAACGCCGCAUGAGUGAUGAAGGUCUUCGGAUCGUAAAACUCUGUUAUUAGGGAAGAACAAAUGUGUAAGUAACUAUGCACGUCUUGACGGUACCUAAUCAGAAAGCCACGGCUAACUACGUG